GACGAACGCUGGCGGCGUGCUUAACACAUGCAAGUCGAACGGAAAGGCCCUGCUUUUGUGGGGUGCUCGAGUGGCGAACGGGUGAGUAACACGUGAGUAACCUGCCCUUGACUUUGGGAUAACUUCAGGAAACUGGGGCUAAUACCGGAUAGGAGCUCCUGCUGCAUGGUGGGGGUUGGAAAGUUUCGGCGGUUGGGGAUGGACUCGCGGCUUAUCAGCUUGUUGGUGGGGUAGUGGCUUACCAAGGCUUUGACGGGUAGCCGGCCUGAGAGGGUGACCGGCCACAUUGGGACUGAGAUACGGCCCAGACUCCUACGGGAGGCAGCAGUGGGGAAUAUUGCACAAUGGGCGGAAGCCUGAUGCAGCAACGCCGCGUGCGGGAUGACGGCCUUCGGGUUGUAAACCGCUUUCGCCUGUGACGAAGCGUGAGUGACGGUAAUGGGUAAAGAAGCACCGGCUAACUACGUGCCAGCAGCCGCGGUGAUACGUAGGGUGCGAGCGUUGUCCGGAUUUAUUGGGCGUAAAGGGCUCGUAGGUGGUUGAUCGCGUCGGAAGUGUAAUCUUGGGGCUUAACCCUGAGCGUGCUUUCGAUACGGGUUGACUUGAGGAAGGUAGGGGAGAAUGGAAUUCCUGGUGGAGCGGUGGAAUGCGCAGAUAUCAGGAGGAACACCAGUGGCGAAGGCGGUUCUCUGGGCCUUUCCUGACGCUGAGGAGCGAAAGCGUGGGGAGCGAACAGGCUUAGAUACCCUGGUAGUCCACGCUGUAAACGGUGGGUACUAGGUGUGGGGUCCAUUCCACGGGUUCCGUGCCGUAGCUAACGCUUUAAGUACCCCGCCUGGGGAGUACGGCCGCAAGGCUAAAACUCAAAGGAAUUGACGGGGCCCCGCACAAGCGGCGGAGCAUGCGGAUUAAUUCGAUGCAACGCGUAGAACCUUACCUGGGUUUGACAUGGAUCGGGAGCGCUCAGAGAUGGGUGUGCCUCUUUUGGGGUCGGUUCACAGGUGGUGCAUGGCUGUCGUCAGCUCGUGUCGUGAGAUGUUGGGUUAAGUCCCGCAACGAGCGCAACCCUUGUUCACUGUUGCCAGCACGUUAUGGUGGGGACUCAGUGGAGACCGCCGGGGUCAACUCGGAGGAAGGUGGGGAUGACGUCAAGUCAUCAUGCCCCUUAUGUCCAGGGCUUCACGCAUGCUACAAUGGCUGGUACAGAGAGUGGCGAGCCUGUGAGGGUGAGCGAAUCUCGGAAAGCCGGCCUCAGUUCGGAUUGGGGUCUGCAACUCGACCUCAUGAAGUCGGAGUCGCUAGUAAUCGCAGAUCAGCAACGCUGCGGUGAAUACGUUCCCGGGGCU
This 1346-nucleotide ribosomal RNA is filed under the name uncultured bacterium. RNAcentral's name for it is "bacterial SSU rRNA". It matches the Rfam family "Bacterial small subunit ribosomal RNA", at positions 28 to 1381 of the family's 1533-position model. The record is from RNAcentral.